Molecule: ribosomal RNA, 253 nt
Filed under: uncultured Parvibaculum sp.
Lineage: Bacteria; Pseudomonadati; Pseudomonadota; Alphaproteobacteria; Hyphomicrobiales; Parvibaculaceae
Description: partial 16S ribosomal RNA
Rfam family: Bacterial small subunit ribosomal RNA
Source: RNAcentral
UACGAAGGGGGCUAGCGUUGUUCGGAAUUACUGGGCGUAAAGCGCACGUAGGCGGUUUUCCAAGUUGGAGGUGAAAUCCCUGGGCUCAACCCGGGAACUGCCUCCAAAACUGGAUGACUCGAGUCCGAGAGAGGUGAGUGGAAUUUCCAGUGUAGAGGUGAAAUUCGUAGAUAUUGGAAAGAACACCAGUGGCGAAGGCGGCUCACUGGCUCGGUACUGACGCUGAGGUGCGACAGCGUGGGGAGCAAACAGG